AGGGAAUUUUGCGCAAUGGGCGAAAGCCUGACGCAGCGACGCUGCUUGGGCGAUGAAGGCCUUCGGGUUGUAAAGCCCUUUUCUGGGGGAAGAGAGAGGACGGUACCUCAGGAAUAAGCGUCGGCUAACUACGUGCCAGCAGCCGCCUUAAUACGUAGGACCCCAGAGUUAUCCGGAUUCAUUGGGCGUAAAGCGCCUGCAGGCGGUCUCGUAAGUUGGGUGUGAAAGCCCCAGGCUUAACCUGGGGAGGCCGUUCAAUACUGCAGAGCAUGAGGACGGGAGAGGGAAGCGGAAUGCCCGGUGUAGCGGUAAAAUGCGCAGAUAUCGGGAGGAACACCAGUGGCGAAGGCGGCUUCCUGGCCCGUUCCUGACGCUCGGAGGCGAAAGCU
This 389-nucleotide ribosomal RNA is filed under the name uncultured bacterium. RNAcentral describes it as "bacterial SSU rRNA". It matches the Rfam family "Bacterial small subunit ribosomal RNA", at positions 356 to 761 of the family's 1533-position model. The record is from RNAcentral.